AUUGAACGCUGGCGGAAUGCUUUACACAUGCAAGUCGAACGGCAGCACGGGGGCAGCCCUGGUGGCGAGUGGCGAACGGGUGAGUAAUACAUCGGAACGUGCCCGGUCGGGGGGGAUAACGUAGCGAAAGAUACGCUAAUACCGCAUACGAUCUGAGGAUGAAAGCGGGGGACCUUCGGGCCUCGCGCGAUCGGAGUGGCCGAUGGCCGAUUAGGUAGUUGGUGGGGGAAAGGCCUACCAAGCCGACGAUCUGUAGCUGGUCUGAGAGGACGACCAGCCACACUGGGACUGAGACACGGCCCAGACUCCUACGGGAGGCAGCAGUGGGGAAUGUUGGACAAUGGGCGCAAGCCUGAUCCAGCCAUUCCGCGUGCAGGACGAAGGCCUUCGGGUUGGAAACUGCUUUUGUACGGAACGAAAAGGCUCUGGCUAAUACCUGGGGCUCAUGACGGUACCGUAAGAAUAAGCACCGGCUAACUACGUG
This 484-nucleotide ribosomal RNA is filed under the name uncultured bacterium. RNAcentral describes it as "partial 16S ribosomal RNA". It matches the Rfam family "Bacterial small subunit ribosomal RNA", at positions 29 to 507 of the family's 1533-position model. The record is from RNAcentral.